This 748-nucleotide ribosomal RNA is filed under the name uncultured Bacilli bacterium. RNAcentral's name for it is "bacterial SSU rRNA". It matches the Rfam family "Bacterial small subunit ribosomal RNA", at positions 31 to 749 of the family's 1533-position model. The record is from RNAcentral. Lineage: Bacteria; Bacillati; Bacillota; Bacilli.
GAACGCUGGCGGCGUGCCUAAUACAUGCAAGUCGAACGCUUCUUUUUCCACNCGGAGCUUGCUCCACCGGAAAAAGAGGAGUGGCGAACGGGUGAGUAACACGUGGGUAACCUGCCCAUCAGAAGGGGAUAACACUUGGAAACAGGUGCUAAUACCGUAUAACAAUCAAAACCGCAUGGUUUUGAUUUGAAAGGCGCUUUCGGGUGUCGCUGAUGGAUGGACCCGCGGUGCAUUAGCUAGUUGGUGAGGUAACGGCUCACCAAGGCCACGAUGCAUAGCCGACCUGAGAGGGUGAUCGGCCACAUUGGGACUGAGACACGGCCCAAACUCCUACGGGAGGCAGCAGUAGGGAAUCUUCGGCAAUGGACGAAAGUCUGACCGAGCAACGCCGCGUGAGUGAAGAAGGUUUUCGGAUCGUAAAACUCUGUUGUUAGAGAAGAAAAAGGAUGAGAGUAACUGUUCAUCCCUUGACGGUAUCUAACCAGAAAGCCACGGCUAACUACGUGCCAGCAGCCGCGGUAAUACGUAGGUGGCAAGCGUUGUCCGGAUUUAUUGGGCGUAAAGCGAGCGCAGGCGGUUUCUUAAGUCUGAUGUGAAAGCCCCCGGCUCAACCGGGGAGGGUCAUUGGAAACUGGGAGACUUGAGUGCAGAAGAGGAGAGUGGAAUUCCAUGUGUAGCGGUGAAAUGCGUAGAUAUAUGGAGGAACACCAGUGGCGAAGGCGGCUCUCUGGUCUGUAACUGACGCUGA